GUCAUAUGCUAUUUUUUAACCCAAAUUUGAGGAUGUAGGUCGAGCUGAACCAAAGGCAUUUCCAUCGAAUUUAGGAAUUUGUAGGUUCACAGAUAUCAUCAAUAUGGAGAAGAAUCUGCAUACCUGCCAAUGGACAACUGUUUUGGGCAGAAUAAGAACAAUGCAGUUAUUGGGAUUUAGUGUCUGAUGUAUUCUGAAGGGGCUGGAUAGAGAUGUAGCAUUUACUUAAAUGGAAGCAGGUGACAUAAAGUUCAGUCCUGUCUGAGAUUUAGUCUGUGAAAGGUAAGUUGUUAGAAUGUUGUUUUUUUUGUUUGUUUUUUUUUUUUUUUUUUAAUUUUGGUGCUUUAAAUGUAUCUAUUGUAAAACUGAAGUUGUUUCCCUGUUGGUUUAAACCCAAAUAAAAGAAUUUUGUAUAUAAUAUAUUGAAGUUUGGUACUUUAUUUAAACACUGAAGUUGUUUAUAUUACCUUAUUAUGAAAAAGAAAGCUUAUAUUAAAACAAUUACAGGUAUUUUAUCAUAAUAUAAACAACAUGUUUAUUUAAUCAAACCAAAUGGAGGCAGCACACAUCCUUUGUGGACUGCUGAGCUUGGCAAACUGGUUAUAUUCUUUAACCGGUUGGAGUACACCAAGAAAACCCUGGAGUUAAUUCCAAACUAGAGGAAAUAUCAUCACUUCAGAACUUCAGCUGACAACUCAGUGAGUAAAUUCAUGAGAGAGCAUGCCAAGGACAGUGAGAUUGAAGUAAACGUUGACAAGCUCACAACGAUGACUUUUCUCAGAGAUUACCCUGAAUGCAUCCAACAUAAAGGACUUCAAAAAGGCUCUGAUACUUGUUCAACUAAAUGCUCCCCCAUGGUUUAACACCUGUGUUUGUUCAGAACCAACAGCAUCAAGACACUUAAAUAAGUGAAAAAUACUUGUCAAUAUACUGAUAUGUGAUAUUUAUUAACUUAAUCUAAGAUUUGAGAAUGAUCCUGUUACUGAGCUGAUGAAAAGUUGAUGUGAUAAUAAUCAUGUUUGUGACCUGUUGCCAUGGUAACCAGGAUAACAAACAAACCCUUCAAGACCAUUCAAAUAAGUAAAAUUAUAGUAAAUUACAGUGGAAACAUACUUUAACUCAUACAUAUACAUUGGUUUGUAUAAGGUGCAAGUUCCAACCUAAUGUCAAUUGAUUGUGAAAAAUUGCCAAUUAACUACAGUAUUUGAUGAACAGUUUUCACUUAUUCUGCCAUAUUCUUGAAUGUCAAAUACAUACACCAGGUACAGUAAGGUUUGAGGAUUUCAAUUAACAAAGAAAUUAUUAUUGACUGCUUCAGAUGACAUUUAUUGCAUAUUUAAAUGCAAAUUUGACCCGAAAACGCCUUUUUCAAUAAUGAUUGCCAUGGUAACCAAAUAAUUUUAAUUUAUUUUCUCAAUUAUAUUUAAGAAUGGUUUUGAAAAUAUGUUGUUGCCGUUAUAAUGCGGAAUUGUGUGUAUUGUAGUGAUGCAUAUUUAUUGCAUCAGUUACCAGUGAUUUUGUGUGAUAAACUGUGAUUUUAGCAAAUGAGUGAUAGAAGGGUGCUACACCCUGUUUUUUGUCUGUAUAACUUCUCUGCCAUAAUGGAGACCACUAUAUGAUUAUUAUUAAAACAAAUUUAAAAAUUCUAGCGGUUUAAGCCUAUAUAUGCUUGAAUUGAAGACAUUUAUAAUAUUGUUGUCAAAAUUAGUUACUUCACAGCUUGAUAAAAUGUACCUAAGCAACCUUUCCAUUUUUCUUCAAUAUCUUCAAUUUUAAAACCUUCCUGAACCCUGUAAACAUGUUUAGCUUUAUCUAUGAAUAAGCAUCGAGAAUAUAAUUUGUCAUGUACUAUGUGGCCUACUGCAUACUUCCUGAAACUACAUAAUGACUUGUACAUGCUAAGUAGCUAGUAUGUUAAAUAAAUUUUUCUUUUUGUCAAAUGUGCCCAUUUAUUAAGUGAUCUGAUUAUACAAUAGUGUAAAUUAUGCAUUAUGGUUAUGUUUAUUAAAUUAAGAGUAUAUUUACCACCAUUUCAUGUUUUAUGAGCAAUGAACAACUAUAUAUAAAAUAAAAGUCACAUUUGAGGUAAAUUGGUAAAGUUGAUGUGAUAAUAAUCAUGUCUGUGACCUGUUGCCAUGGUAACCAGGAUAACAAACAAACCCUUCAAGACCAUUCAAAUAAGCAAAAUUAUAGUAAAUUACAAUGGAAACGUACUUUAACUAAUACAUAUACAUUGGUUUGUAUAAGGUGCAAGUUCCAACCUAAUGUCAAUUGAUUGUGAAAAUUUGCCAAUUAACUACAGUAUUUGGCGAACAGUUUUCAUUUAUUCUGACAUAUUCUUGAAUGUCAAAUACAUACACCAGGUACAGUAAGGUUUGAGGAUAUAAAUAAACAAAUAAAUUAUUAUUGACUGCUUCAGAUGACAUUUAUUGCAUAUCUAAAUGCAAAUUUGACCCGAAAACACCUUUUUCAAUAAUGGUUGCCAUGGUAACCAAAUAAUUUUAAUUUAUUUUCUCAAUUAUAUUUAAGAAUGGUUUUGAAAAUAUGUUGUUGCCGUUAUAAUGCGGAAUUGUGUGUAUUUUAGUGAUGCAUAUUUAUUGCAUCUUUGAAUACAAAUGUUUCAAUAAAUUCUUGAACUUCA
This is a long non-coding RNA of Mya arenaria, 2641 nucleotides long. RefSeq lists it as uncharacterized. Lineage: Eukaryota; Metazoa; Mollusca; Bivalvia; Myida; Myidae. The record is from RefSeq and is a predicted model, not a curated record. The transcript is spliced from 4 exons.